AAUUUUGGACAAUGGGGGAAACCCUGAUCCAGCCAUCACGCGUGUAUGAUGAAGGCCUUCGGGUUGUAAAGUACUUUUGGCAGAGAAGAAAAGGUAUCUCCUAAUACGAGAUACUGCUUAAGGUAUCUGCAGAAUAAGCACCGGCUAACUACGUGCCAGCAGCCGCGGUAAUACGUAGGGUGCAAGCGUUAAUCGGAAUUACUGCGCGUAAAGCGUGUGUAAGCGGUUCGAAAAGAAAGAUGUGAAAUCCCAGGGCUCAACCUUGGAACUGCAUUUUUAACUGCCGAGCUAGAGUAUGUCAGAGGGGGGUAGAAUUCCACUUUUAGCAGUGAAAUGCGUAGAUAUGUGGAGAAAUACCGAUGGAGAGGGCAGCCCCCUGGUAUAAUUCUGACGCUCAGACACGAAAGCGUGGGGAGCAAACA
Molecule: ribosomal RNA, 422 nt
Filed under: uncultured bacterium
Lineage: Bacteria
Description: partial 16S ribosomal RNA
Rfam family: Bacterial small subunit ribosomal RNA
Source: RNAcentral